GACGAACGCUGGCGGCGUGCUUAACACAUGCAAGUCGAACGGAAAGGCCCUGCUUUUGUGGGGUGCUCGAGUGGCGAACGGGUGAGUAACACGUGAGUAACCUGCCCUUGACUUUGGGAUAACUUCAGGAAACUGGGGCUAAUACCGGAUGGGAGCUCCUGCUGCAUGGUGGGGGUUGGAGAGUUUCGGCGGUUGGGGAUGGACGCGCGGCUUAUCAGCUUGUUGGUGGGGUAGUGGCUUACCAAGGCUUUGACGGGUAGCCGGCCGGAGAGGGUGACCGGCAUCAUGGCGAAGGAGAGGCGGCGCAGCCUCCGGGGGGCGGCAGCGGUGGGGAAUAUUCAACAGGGGGCGGACGGAUGCAGCGGCAACGCCGGGGGGGGGAUGGCGGCCUGCGUGUAGUAACCUUUUUCCGCGGGCGACGAGGCUUUGGUGACGGUAAUGGGUAAAGAGGCACCGCCAACUUAGGU
This 467-nucleotide ribosomal RNA is filed under the name uncultured bacterium. RNAcentral's name for it is "partial 16S ribosomal RNA". It matches the Rfam family "Bacterial small subunit ribosomal RNA", at positions 28 to 506 of the family's 1533-position model. The record is from RNAcentral.